RNAcentral lists this long non-coding RNA (270 nucleotides) under Lathyrus oleraceus (garden pea). RNAcentral describes it as "Pisum sativum (pea) long non-coding RNA (PSAT_LNC026868)". The record is from RNAcentral. Lineage: Eukaryota; Viridiplantae; Streptophyta; Magnoliopsida; Fabales; Fabaceae.
UACCCAUUCCCCCAAAUUCACCCUAUAUGUCUCAUGUUCAGAAAUUUCAAGCAAUUGGAAACAGAAAGUAAUGAAGAAGGGGCAAACCUGAUUUGAGAUCUGUUGAAUUUGAAAUGCACAGGAGGUUAGGGAUGCAAUGCAAUGCUAGGGUUUUAAUUGGAAACAGAAAGUAAUGAAGAAGGGGCAAACCUGAUUUGAGAUCUGUUGAAUUUGAAAUGCACAGGAGGUUAGGGAUGCAAUGCAAUGCUAGGGUUUAGAGUUGUUAGAUGA